UCUACGGGAGGCUGCAGUGAGGAAUAUUGGUCAAUGGGCGCGAGCCUGAACCAGCCAAGUAGCGUGAAGGAUGACUGCCCUACGGGUUGUAAACUUCUUUUAUAAAGGAAUAAAGUGAGGCACGUGUGCCUUUUUGUAUGUACUUUAUUAAUAAGGAUCGGCUAACUCCGUGCCCGCAGCCGCGGUAAUCCGGAGGAUCCUAGCGUUAUCCGGAUUUAUUGGGUUUAAAGGGAGCGUAGAUGGGUUGUUCAGUCAGUUGUGAAAGUUUGCGGCUCAACCGUAAAAUUGCAAUUGAUACUGGAAGUCGUGAGUACAGUUGAGGUAGGCGGAAUUCGUGGUGUAGCGGUGAAAUGCUUAGAUAUCACGAAGAACUCCGAUUGCGAAGGCAGCUGACUAAACUGCCACUGACAUUGAUGCUCGAAAGUGUGGGUAUCAAACAGGAUUAGAUACCCGGGUAGUC
Molecule: ribosomal RNA, 460 nt
Filed under: uncultured bacterium
Lineage: Bacteria
Description: partial 16S ribosomal RNA
Rfam family: Bacterial small subunit ribosomal RNA
Source: RNAcentral